AGCGAACGCUGGCGGCAGGCUUAACACAUGCAAGUCGAGCGGACCUUUCGGGGUCAGCGGCGGACGGGGGAGUAACGCGGGGGAACGUGCCUUCCGGUUCGGAAUAACCCUGGGAAACUAGGGCUAAUACCGGAUACGCCCUUAUUGGGAAAGGUUUACUGCCGGAAGAUCGGCCCGCGUCUGAUUCGCUCGUUAGUGGGGUAAUGGCCUACCAAGGCGACGAUCAGUAGCUGGUCUGAGAGGCUGAUCCGCCACACCGGGACGGAGACACGGCCCGGACUCCUACGCGAGGGGGCAAUGGGGAAUAUAGGAAAGUGGCGGCAAGGAUGAACCAGCCCUGCCGGGUGAGUGAUGAAGGCCUUGGGGUUGUAAAGCUCUUUUAUCCGGGACGGUAAUGACGGUACCGGAGGAAUAAGCCCCGGCUAACUUCGUG
RNAcentral lists this ribosomal RNA (433 nucleotides) under uncultured bacterium. RNAcentral's name for it is "partial 16S ribosomal RNA". It matches the Rfam family "Bacterial small subunit ribosomal RNA", at positions 28 to 507 of the family's 1533-position model. The record is from RNAcentral.